RNAcentral lists this ribosomal RNA (218 nucleotides) under Psychodopygus hirsutus. RNAcentral describes it as "partial 16S ribosomal RNA". Lineage: Eukaryota; Metazoa; Arthropoda; Insecta; Diptera; Psychodidae. The record is from RNAcentral.
GAUCUUUAUAUAUUAAAUAAUUAUACAAUAUUAGUUUAAUUUUUUUUUAAAAUUAUUAAUAUAUUAUAUUGGGGUAAUAAUAAAAUUUUAAAAAUUUUUAUUUUUUAAUAACGAUUAUGAUUGAUUUGUUGAUCCAGUAUUAUUGAUUAUAAAGUUAAGUUACCUUAGGGAUAACAGCGUAAUGAUUUUUGAGAGUUCUUAUCAAUAAAAUAGUUUGU